GGUCAGGUAGCUCAGUUGGUAGAGCAAUGGACUGAAAAUCCAUGUGUCGGGGGGUUCAACUCCCUCCCUGACCA
Molecule: transfer RNA, 74 nt
Filed under: Ignavibacteria bacterium
Lineage: Bacteria; Pseudomonadati; Ignavibacteriota; Ignavibacteria
Description: tRNA-Phe
Rfam family: tRNA
About the family: Transfer RNA (tRNA) molecules are approximately 80 nucleotides in length. Their secondary structure includes four short double-helical elements and three loops (D, anti-codon, and T loops).
Source: RNAcentral